Myotis myotis is the source of this 965-nucleotide long non-coding RNA. RefSeq lists it as uncharacterized. The record is from RefSeq and is a predicted model, not a curated record. NCBI's taxonomy places the organism in Eukaryota, Metazoa, Chordata, Mammalia, Chiroptera, Vespertilionidae. The transcript is spliced from 3 exons.
GUGCCCGCAACCCAGGUACAUGCCCUUGCCCGGAAUGGAACCCUCCCGGGACCCCCUCGGUCCGCAGGCCGACGCUCUAUCCACUGAGCCACACCGGUCAGGGCGCCCCGGGCAUUCUUAACCAUCCCCAUGCUAUGCUACUAGCAUCCUUGCCUUCUGUUCUAAUUUAAACCUGAGCCAGCAGGCAACUUUCUCUUUACCUUUUGACCCCUGUUUGCUCGCCCUAAUCACAGAGCAGAGCCUCCUUCUCAGCGGGAGGUGUACAGAGAUCCCUGAAGGAAAGGGAAGUGACAGGAGCUAAGCGCUGCAAAGCGGAGCCAGGGCACGGGCCGCCGUCUCCGCAGGGCUCGGGACGCAGCCCCUGGAUGGAUCUCCCUCCAAAGGUCAAAGGUAGAAGCCUGGGAACCCGGGCCCCGGGCGGAGGCGCAGCCAAGGCCGAGCCCCGCGCUGCCGGUCGGGACCCGGCACCCAGAGCCCCGCGCAGGGCGCUCGGGACCGGGACCGGGACCGGGACCGGGACCGGGACCGGGACCGGGACCAGGACCAGGACCAGAGCGGCGUCCUCCUCAGCCACUCGUCCCAUCGGACGGGCUGCAGGGCUGGGCAGGAGGCGCCGGGCGGAGGGCGCCGCCGAGACCCCGCUCCGGGAGCAGAGAGCAGGCCGGCGGCUGUCUCGGGAGAAAGCCCGCAUGUUUAGGUGUUGCUUUCAACAGGCCCACAGACAAAGGCCAGCCCGGGAGGAGUGCAGCGGGAGACGGGGAAGAAUGUGAACGCAGUCCUCUGCUACCACAAAUUAUGCAGUCGAGUUUCCCACACUUGGGGAAAUCACAGGGGUCAGCACGUCCACAGUACAAUGGCUAAGACUCGCCCUGGGAAAACCAUCUUCGUGAUCACGAAGAUGGUAUCUCCCCUGCCAGGGAGAGUUAGAAGAGAAAGACAAAGACAAAGAGAAACAUCAAUGUGAG